This 447-nucleotide ribosomal RNA is filed under the name uncultured bacterium. Its description in RNAcentral is "partial 16S ribosomal RNA". It matches the Rfam family "Bacterial small subunit ribosomal RNA", at positions 29 to 523 of the family's 1533-position model. The record is from RNAcentral.
AGCGAACGCUGGCGGCAGGCUUAACACAUGCAAGUCGAACGCCCCGCAAGGGGAGUGGCAGACGGGUGAGUAACACGUGGGAACGUACCCUUUGGUUCGGAAUAACUUGGGGAAACUCAAGCUAAUACCGGAUAAGCCCUUAUGGGGAAAGGUUUACUGCCGAAGGAUCGGCCCGCGUCUGAUUAGCUAGUUGGUGAGGUAAUGGCUCACCAAGGCGACGAUCAGUAGCUGGUCUGAGAGGAUGAUCAGCCACACUGGGACUGAGACACGGCCCAGACUCCUACGGAAGGCAGCAGUGGGGAAUAUUGGACAAUGGGGGCAACCCUGAUCCAGCCAUGCCGCGUGAGUGAUGAAGGCCUUAGGGUUGUAAAGCUCUUUUACCCGGGACGAUAAUGACUGUACCGGGAGAAUAAGCCCCGGCUAACUUCGUGCCAGCAGCCGCCGUAA